GACGAACGCUGGCGGCGUGCUUAACACAUGCAAGUCGAACGGAAAGGCCCUGCUUUUGUGGGGUGCUCGAGUGGCGAACGGGUGAGUAACACGUGAGUAACCUGCCCUUGACUUUGGGAUAACUUCAGGAAACUGGGGCUAAUACCGGAUAGGAGCUCCUGCUGCAUGGUGGGGGUUGGAAAGUUUCGGCGGUUGGGGAUGGACUCGCGGCUUAUCAGCUUGUUGGUGGGGUAGUGGCUUACCAAGGCUUUGACGGGUAGCUGGCCUGAGAGGGUGACCGGCCACAUUGAGACUGAGAUACGGCCCAGACUCCUACGGGGGGCAGCAGUGGGGAAUAUUGCACAAUGGGCGGAAGCCUGAUGCAGCAACGCCGCGUGCGGGAUGACGGCCUUCGGGUUGUAAACCGCUUUCGCCUGUGACGAAGCGUGAGUGACGGUAAUGGGUAAAGAAGCACCGGCUAACUACGUG
RNAcentral lists this ribosomal RNA (468 nucleotides) under uncultured bacterium. Its description in RNAcentral is "partial 16S ribosomal RNA". It matches the Rfam family "Bacterial small subunit ribosomal RNA", at positions 28 to 507 of the family's 1533-position model. The record is from RNAcentral.